ACGACGCGUCACUGCAACCAGAAAAUACAGUAUAGCUGUUCAAAUGAAACUUUAUGCACAACAAGCUUCCAUUCAAACCUCAAACUGUUAUGCGGAUCUAGUUUGACUAAACGUAGAUACUGUAGUUGUGUUAACAUGACAGCCAUUGAAACAUCUUCUUGUUUGCAAAGCCUGAUUUGUCCAUCCAUGCAGAUAACAUGCUCCGGACUCUGUUGUGCCGUCUGAGGAUACAGCAGCCUUUUGAGGAGUAGAACAUGUUCCUAUGGCUUCACCCCUGUCAAUCUUGUCGGACCCUGUCCAGCUGCAUGUGACUCCACCUAGAACUCUAUUCUAUCUAUAUGUUCAUCGUAGGACCUGUCAUUCAAACACACACUCCCAACAGCAUCAGAGGACUAUCAGAGGAGACAGGAAGCGAGAUGUUUGGUAAUGUGUCGCCAUGUUUCAGCGCCGGUGUUGUGUCGCUGUCAGCUGUCAUUGGUCAUUCCACCUCCACCAGACAGGGGUGUCAGUAUACAGAGGAGGCUCUAUUCAACGGCCCCUAUUAAAUCAGUGAUUAAACCGGUGACCAUGCCUGGAAGUGGGAAGAAACUUCCUAAAGGCCCUAGGACCAAACAACCAUCCAGAACCAAUCAGCCGACCCCAAAGGAGGACAAGGUGAUGCCGUCCACCAAUCAGAUUAGAGGACUGGGAGAUGCCUAAUGGAUGUAUCUAUUUGAUUUAUUUAACCUUUGUGUUUUUUGUAAUAAAAAAAAUAUUAUAAUAAUAAUAUUCCCUAGGGUUAUUCAACAAUCAAAAUGAUUUGUAGCUCAAUGACUGUCAACACAGUUACAUGCUUGGUUCGACACUGAGGGAGAUGACGCAUCAGUUGUCACAAAUAUGAGGCAUUUUCGGGAAGGUAGAAAGAAUUUCGAAUGUGCGAUCAGGGACUGAUGCGUAUCGGUGAGUCAUUACAUCCCCAUCAUUAAUAUAUGCAUGUUUUUUGGGGCUUUAUAUGCUUGUGUUUAUAUUUGAGUUGAAACUUUAAAUUGCCUAUAUGUAUUGAUUCACUGUACGUAUUUAUAUAUUUGCAGACUUACAUUUCGGUGUAUUUCUUCAUUCUGGCAAACUGUAAUAAUUCAAACAACCAAUCCGAUAUCUCAUCAACCCAGUGACUUGUCUGGAAGAAGCUGAGCCUAUUGCCUGGAGCCGCAGGUCAUUUAGAAGAUGCCAAUUGUCUGUGGUCUUGCCAUGUCAAAUGUUAUUCACAUUCAUAUGAGCCAUGAAGAUCUACAGCACAUACAUUUGGUGACAGCUGUCAUCUCCUUUUAUGAAGUUUGUUGUGUGUUUGAUUUGAUAAAAUAAAGUAGACUGAACUAACUUG
This is a non-coding RNA of Salvelinus sp. IW2-2015, 1360 nucleotides long. NCBI's taxonomy places the organism in Eukaryota, Metazoa, Chordata, Actinopteri, Salmoniformes, Salmonidae. The record is from RefSeq and is a predicted model, not a curated record.